RNAcentral lists this unclassified non-coding RNA (393 nucleotides) under uncultured fungus. RNAcentral describes it as "partial contains 5.8S ribosomal RNA, internal transcribed spacer 2, and large subunit ribosomal RNA". Lineage: Eukaryota; Fungi. The record is from RNAcentral.
AACGCAUCUUGCACUAUUCGGCCUUCCCGAAUAGUAUGCCUGGUUGAGUGUCUAUGUAUCUCUCCUAUCCCAGCAUUUGUUUGUUGGAUCAAUAGGGAAUUGGGGUCUUAUCGUCGAAUCAGUCUUCAUCGACUGCCUUGGCGAACCCUUGAAAUACAGUAAGCUCCUAUCUAUACUGGAAAUACGUAAUCUGGAGAUGGCGUCGUAGCUAAAUCUUAACUGAUUGGUCGAAGCGCCUACAACAUACUCCUAACCACGGUGUUAAUCCUUUUGAUUGGGUGAAGCUUAGCGACUGAGCAAAGCGCUCUUGCCAUCAUCAUCUUCCCGUCACACGGAAGAGGCAACUCGAACAAUAAUGACCUCAACUCAGGUAGGACGACCCGCUGGACUUAA